UACGUAGGGUGCAAGCGUUAAUCGGAAUUACUGGGCGUAAAGCGUGCGCAGGCGGUUCUGUAAGAUAGAUGUGAAAUCCCCGGGCUCAACCUGGGAAUUGCAUAUAUGACUGCAGGACUUGAGUUUGUCAGAGGAGGGUGGAAUUCCACGUGUAGCAGUGAAAUGCGUAGAUAUGUGGAAGAACACCGAUGGCGAAGGCAGCACUCUGGGACAUGACUGACGCUCAUGCACGAAAGCGUGGGGAGCAAACAGG
RNAcentral lists this ribosomal RNA (253 nucleotides) under Sutterella wadsworthensis. RNAcentral describes it as "partial 16S ribosomal RNA". It matches the Rfam family "Bacterial small subunit ribosomal RNA", at positions 524 to 776 of the family's 1533-position model. Lineage: Bacteria; Pseudomonadati; Pseudomonadota; Betaproteobacteria; Burkholderiales; Sutterellaceae. The record is from RNAcentral.